This is a long non-coding RNA of Phyllostomus discolor (pale spear-nosed bat), 187 nucleotides long. RefSeq lists it as uncharacterized. Lineage: Eukaryota; Metazoa; Chordata; Mammalia; Chiroptera; Phyllostomidae. The transcript is spliced from 3 exons. The record is from RefSeq and is a predicted model, not a curated record.
GGGUUUGGGCAAGUAUAUAAUGGUAUGUGUCCACCAUGAAGUAUCAUACAGAGUAAUUUCCUUGCCCUGAAAAUCCUUUCUGUUUGGUCUAUUUAUCUCUCCCUCCCCUGAACCCCUGGCAACUACUGAUCCUUUACUGUCUUUAUAGUUUUGCCUUUUCCAGAAUGCUUUACAGGUGGAAUCACUG